This 1484-nucleotide long non-coding RNA is filed under the name Chrysemys picta bellii (western painted turtle). RNAcentral's name for it is "lncRNA (ENSCPBG00000026293.1)". Lineage: Eukaryota; Metazoa; Chordata; Testudines; Emydidae. The record is from RNAcentral.
UAUAGUAAAUGCAGGAGAAUGGAUUGAAAUAUAAACUUCAAUUUUGAACUCGCAGAAAGCUUGUGACUUGUGAUGUAAUAGUGUUCAGCAAGAUAUAAUAGAACUUGGAAUUAUUCUCAUGACAUCGCCAAGGCAACACAGGGUGGAAAUUCCAGACACCUUUUGGGUGGAGUCUCAUUCCUUCUGUAGUCUGGAGCUGGAAGCUGGAUUAACAUGGUGUUUUGUUUGCUGUGAUUUACUGGAAGAAGAAAAUAUUUAGUUGCUUUGUUUUACUGAGUGGUGGUCAGAGAGAAUGGGAAAGGAAAAUGGUGAUAUCCUGCAUAGCUUCAUUCAGAGCUGGAGUCCACAGCAAAUCCUCUCUUUCCUUCCUAAAGUGGGAAGUAUUGGAAAUCUGAGUCACACUCACAGAAUUCUUGAAAAAAUAUCUGGAGGCUGUCUUCUGGGUCAACUGAGACAUGAGAUGACAUUGAUCCUCAGGAAAUAAAAACAUUGAGGAAAAACACUGAUGGACUAUUUUGUUGUACACAUUACAAACACUGAAUCUUUGUUACCUGCUGUAGCACUGGGCCAGCAAAGGUUAUACAAUCAGCAAGCUGGUUGACCUGUAAGCAACCCUUAAGGACAUAUCAAAAGGGUAUUGCAAUGGUGAACAAGGCCAUUCCUUGUGGAUAGUUAUCAAAGCCAUGUUAAGUAGAUUAGAAUAUUUAACUUGUUUGUCUGUAUUGUUAGAGAAUCAAAGAGUAAGUGCUAAAUAUGUCUAUGUUUACCUGUAUCCUAUUAGAAAUCUAACAAUGUGAUCUAAUUAGCUUAUAGAUGCUAAAUCCUGUUCCUGUCUUGUAAUGUUUCGUUACUCUAUUGAGUGAGGGAUCAUUGGUGCACUCGUUAUUCUAUUGACUCGGAGAUGUUAUAUUUAGGUGGGACUUGUGGUAUAAUAAUAAUAUUGUCUUAAUCUCUCCUGGAAGUUUGCAAUUCCAAAGAGCAAACAACCUGUGAACUGCAUUGAUAAUUUGAAUAGCCAUUGCUAAAGGCAUUGUUUGAGAAAGGACCUAUUGAAUAGAGAUCACAAACUGUUGGCUCACUUUCAUCAAAGCCCACUGUAGUGGAGUUUCCUGUCAGCACCCACCCUACCUCAACUAUAAAAGAAAGCUUCGGGCCUGAUCCUUUUAUCUCAGGUCUGCUCAAACUUUAACAGGGAAGGUUUAAGCCAUAGGAUUGAGGCCUCCAGGAGGAUACCUGGAUUAUCCUGGAACUCUGAUGGAGAAAUUCUAACAGACUGUACACCUGAACUGUCUAUUGGACGAUAACCCAUUGAAUUGAUUCCAGAGGCCUGGUCUACAUUAGGCGUUUAUGUCGAAGUUAGCGCCGCUAAAUCGAAUUAACCCUGCACCCGUCCACACUGCGAUGCUAUUUAGUUCGACAUAGAGGUCUCUUUAAUUCGACUUCUGUACUCCUCCCCGACGAGGGGAGUAGCGCUAAAUUCGACA